UUGCCUCGGCGCAGGCCGUCCCCCMUGGGRUCCCUUGGAGACAAGGAGCAGCCGGCCGGUGGCCAAAUCAACUCUGUUUUUACACUGUAACUCUGAGUACAAAACAUAAAUGAAUCAAAACUUUCAACAACGGAUCUCUUGGUUCUGGCAUCGAUGAAGAACGCAGCGAAAUGCGAUAAGUAAUGUGAAUUGCAGAAUUCAGUGAAUCAUCGAAUCUUUGAACGCACAUUGCGCCCUCUGGUAUUCCGGAGGGCAUGCCUGUUCGAGSGUCAUUUCAACCCUCAAGCCUGGCUUGGUGUUGGGGCACUGCCUGUAAAAGGGCAGGCCCUGAAAUAUAGUGSYGAACUCGCCAGGACUCCGAGCGUAGUAGUUAAACCCUCGCUCUGGAAGGCCUGGCGGUGCCCUGCCGU
RNAcentral lists this ribosomal RNA (410 nucleotides) under Phomopsis sp. 4 JM-2013. Its description in RNAcentral is "eukaryotic LSU rRNA". The stretch from base 119 to 272 matches the Rfam family "5.8S ribosomal RNA". Lineage: Eukaryota; Fungi; Ascomycota; Sordariomycetes; Diaporthales; Diaporthaceae. The record is from RNAcentral.